This 616-nucleotide long non-coding RNA is filed under the name Capsicum annuum. Its description in RNAcentral is "long non-coding RNA (CANN_LNC011861)". Lineage: Eukaryota; Viridiplantae; Streptophyta; Magnoliopsida; Solanales; Solanaceae. The record is from RNAcentral.
AAUAAAUUCAUGGGAUAUUUAUAAAUCAAAACCCUCUUUUAUUGGUAAUCAAAUUCAUCAAGAAGAACCACGACAAACACUCCUUUCAUGGAGAUAAAAUCCAAAUAAUACGCCACUAACGGCCCAACCCUCUUGGCAAACCCUCCUUUCGUGGAGAUCAAAUCCAAAUCAUACGCCAUUAACGGCCCAACACUCCUUUCAUGGAUAUCAAAUCCAAUAUUCCUACGUUCGAGAAAUAUACCACUAACAAUCCUUGAAUUACGGAGAAAAUGAUCAAAUCCAAAUAUUCCUACGCUCGAGAAAUACGCCACUAACGACUCUCUAAUUACGGAAAAAUUUAUAUCAAAUCCAAAUAUGUCUAUGUUUGAGAAAUAAGCUACUGACGGUUCUCGAAUUACGAAGAAAAUCAAGAGAAAAGAAGGAACGAAUUUGUACCCAUAUUGUUUAUUAAUAAAAAAAUCAUGUUUCUUUAUAUUUUAUUUGUGAUUACAAUUUAUUUUUAUCGCUGUAAAAAUUUAUUAGAAACACUAUAUUUUCUCAUAUAUUUUCAAAAUAUUUUGAAUUAUUGUUAUGUUGACUAGUACUUCCUCCGUUUUGGAAUAAGUGAAUUGUUGGG